Molecule: ribosomal RNA, 450 nt
Filed under: uncultured bacterium
Lineage: Bacteria
Description: partial 16S ribosomal RNA
Rfam family: Bacterial small subunit ribosomal RNA
Source: RNAcentral
GUGGGGAAUUUUGGACAAUGGGCGCAAGCCUGAUCCAGCAAUGCCGCGUGCAGGAAGAAGGCCUUCGGGUUGUAAACUGCUUUUGUACGGAACGAAACGGUCCUGGCUAAUAUCCGGGGCUAAUGACGGUACCGUAAGAAUAAGCACCGGCUAACUACGUGCCAGCAGCCGCGGUAAUACGUAGGGUGCGAGCGUUAAUCGGAAUUACUGGGCGUAAAGCGUGCGCAGGCGGUGAUGUAAGACAGUUGUGAAAUCCCCGGGCUCAACCUGGGAACUGCAUCUGUGACUGCAUUGCUGGAGUGCGGCAGAGGGGGAUGGAAUUCCGCGUGUAGCAGUGAAAUGCGUAGAUAUGCGGAGGAACACCGAUGGCGAAGGCAAUCCCCUGGGCCUGCACUGACGCUCAUGCACGAAAGCGUGGGGAGCAAACAGGAUUAGAAACCCUGGUAGUCC